Molecule: ribosomal RNA, 759 nt
Filed under: Utricularia inflexa
Lineage: Eukaryota; Viridiplantae; Streptophyta; Magnoliopsida; Lamiales; Lentibulariaceae
Description: eukaryotic LSU rRNA
Rfam family: 5.8S ribosomal RNA (bases 272-427)
Source: RNAcentral
GAAGUAAAAAGUCGUAACAAGGUUUCCGUAGGUGAACCUGCGGAAGGAUCAUUGACGAGCCCCGAAGUCACCGUGAACUUGUGUGUCCGUGCUUGCUGGCGAGAGCGUGUUGGUGCGCGGCGCGCACCGGGACUCUCCCGCCCUCCAAAAACCCCCCAAGGCGCCGAUAUUGCGCCAAGGAAAAGAAGUGAUGGGGGGGAGCGGUUGGAUUUAUCCUCCGUUUCCCUUCAAGCUGCGCGAGGAGCGCAUGCGAAAGAUUGAUUAAUGAAACGACUCUCGGCAACGGAUAUCUUGGUUCUCGCAUCGAUGAAGAACGUAGCGAAAUGCGAUACUUGGUGUGAAUUGCAGAAUCCCGUGAACCAUCGAGUCUUUGAACGCAAGUUGCGCCCGAGGUGAAUCCACCAAGGGCACGUCUGCCUGGGCGUCACACAUCGCGUCGCGCUCCCCCCUUUCGUACCAGCCACGCUCGCGUGGUUCGGAUGCGUGAGUUUUUUGGGGGAGGUGCGGAUGGUUGGUCUCCCGUGCGCUCGCUCGCUCGGCCGGCCUAAAUGUGUCGCGUUCCGUUGGCAUCGGACGCCACGAGCAAUGGUGGUUGCCUCUUCUGUCGACUUCGCAUGUCGUGGCGCCGAGAGGCCCUCGUGACUCGCGGCGGGAACUCCCCUAUGGGCGACGCGAGGCACUUCGGUGCCUCCGCGAGAGCCCCUCGACCGCGACCCCAGGUCAGGCGGGACUACCCGCUGAGUUUAAGCAUAUCAAUAG